This 81-nucleotide transfer RNA is filed under the name Hypoxylon sp. FL0890. RNAcentral's name for it is "tRNA-Arg". It matches the Rfam family "tRNA". Rfam says of the family: Transfer RNA (tRNA) molecules are approximately 80 nucleotides in length. The record is from RNAcentral. Lineage: Eukaryota; Fungi; Ascomycota; Sordariomycetes; Xylariales; Hypoxylaceae.
GUCCUGCUAGCGCAAUGGCAGCGCGUCAGACUUCUAUAUGAUGAAAUCUGAAGGUUGCCGGUUCGAGUCCGGCGUAGGAUG